Molecule: ribosomal RNA, 541 nt
Filed under: uncultured Gallionellaceae bacterium
Lineage: Bacteria; Pseudomonadati; Pseudomonadota; Betaproteobacteria; Nitrosomonadales; Gallionellaceae
Description: bacterial SSU rRNA
Rfam family: Bacterial small subunit ribosomal RNA
Source: RNAcentral
AGUGGGGGAUAACGUAGCGAAAGUUACGCUAAUACCGCAUAUGCCCUGAGGGGGAAAGGAGGGGAUCGCAAGACCUUUCGCUUUCGGAGUGGCCGAUAUCGGAUUAGCUAGUAGGUGAGGUAAAGGCUCACCUAGGCGACGAUCCGUAGCUGGUCUGAGAGGACGACCAGCCACACUGGGACUGAGACACGGCCCAGACUCCUACGGGAGGCAGCAGUGGGGAAUUUUGGACAAUGGGCGCAAGCCUGAUCCAGCCAUGCCGCGUGAGUGAAGAAGGCCUUCGGGUUGUAAAGCUCUUUCGGACAGAAAGAAAUCCUAUCCGCUAAUACCGGGUGGGGAUGACGGUACUGUAAGAAGAAGCACCGGCUAACUACGUGCCAGCAGCCGCGGUAAUACGUAGGGUGCGAGCGUUAAUCGGAAUUACUGGGCGUAAAGCGUGCGCAGGCGGUUUGGUAAGACAGACGUGAAAUCCCCGGGCUUAACCUGGGAACUGCGUUUGUGACUGCAAGACUAGAGUGUAGCAGAGGGGGGUAGAAUUCCA